Molecule: long non-coding RNA, 583 nt
Organism: Gossypium raimondii (Peruvian cotton)
Lineage: Eukaryota; Viridiplantae; Streptophyta; Magnoliopsida; Malvales; Malvaceae
Exons: 2
Source: RefSeq, a predicted model, not a curated record
UUCAGAAAAUUUUAGAAACAAAUUAAAGCAAUAAAACAAAUCAAGAGGAUCAAAAGUGAAAAUAUCCCACUGGGAUAAAACAUGCGGAUUUGAUCGGGUUUUUGAGCCGGGUCACACGGGCUAUUGGGUACAAGCCUGCAAAUACACCACCAAAACCCCCAAAAUUAGCAUUUAACCUAUCCUAAAACAGAUCAGCAAAAAGCCUAAACUGCUCAAUGCUGCCGCCUUCAUGCUUUUCCCACAGUACAAUGACACCGCCGAUCGAAAGGUGAUCGUGGGAGCAUGCACGGGGAAGGCGCGCAAGGGGCGGCGAUGAGCGUGGCUGCUGUUGGGAGCAGCAACUGGUUUUUUUUCUGCUUAGGAUUUCUGUUAUUUUUUUAUUUUUUUGGGCUAGGUUUAGUUUGGGCUUAGUGUUUGGGUCUUGGGCUGGGGUCAAUUGGGUAUUGGGUUUUAAUUUUAUUGGGCUUGUUUAUUGGUUUGGGCCCGGGCAUUAUUGGGUUUGUACAAUUCAAUUUUGACCCAAGUAAAAAAUCUUUUCAUUGGAUUAAAUAGAGCGAGGUUUGCAAGCCGUCCGACUUUGGAA